UACAGAGGUCCCAAGCGUUGUUCGGAUUCACUGGGCGUAAAGGGUGCGUAGGUGGCCGGGAAAGUUUGAUGUGAAAGCUCGGAGCUCAACUCCGAAAUGGCAUUGAAUACUAUUCGGCUUGAGGGUCGGAGGGGAGACUGGAAUUCUCGGUGUAGCAGUGAAAUGCGUAGAUAUCGAGAGGAACACCAGUGGCGAAGGCGAGUCUCUGGACGACACCUGACACUGAGGCACGAAAGCUAGGGGAGCAAACAGG
This 253-nucleotide non-coding RNA is filed under the name uncultured bacterium. Its description in RNAcentral is "partial 16S ribosomal RNA". It matches the Rfam family "Bacterial small subunit ribosomal RNA", at positions 524 to 776 of the family's 1533-position model. The record is from RNAcentral. RNAcentral also lists the same sequence under 1 other name.